This 1392-nucleotide ribosomal RNA is filed under the name Triticum aestivum (bread wheat). Its description in RNAcentral is "partial small subunit ribosomal RNA". Lineage: Eukaryota; Viridiplantae; Streptophyta; Magnoliopsida; Poales; Poaceae. The record is from RNAcentral.
AUGGAGGCGGACGCCGGGAAGCUGUUCAUCGGUGGCAUCUCGUGGGACACCAACGAGGACCGCCUCCGGGAGUACUUUGAGAAGUACGGGGAGGUGGUGGAGGCUGUCAUCAUGCGCGACCGAGCCACGGGCCGCGCCCGGGGCUUCGGGUUCAUCGUGUUCACCGACCCAGCAGUUGCAGAGCGUGUAAUAAUGGAGAAGCAUAUGAUCGACGGCCGGAUGGUGGAGGCCAAGAAAGCUGUCCCUAGAGACGAUCAGCAAGCUCUUAGCAAGAGUGGUGGCAGUGCUCAUGGAUCACCAGGGCCCAGUCGCACCAAGAAGAUUUUCGUUGGUGGUCUUGCAUCCACCGUGACAGAGGCAGACUUCAGGAUGUAUUUUGAGCAGUUUGGCACGAUCACUGAUGUUGUGGUGAUGUAUGAUCACAACACACAGCGUCCUAGAGGGUUUGGGUUCAUAACGUACGAUUCUGAAGACGCUGUGGACAAGGCAUUGUUCAAGACAUUCCAUGAACUUAAUGGUAAGAUGGUUGAAGUCAAGAGGGCUGUUCCUAAGGAGCUAUCACCUGGACCUAGCAUGCGCUCUCCUGCUGGCGGAAUCAACUAUGUUAUGAACAGAGCCAAUAGCUUUCUCAAUGGAUAUACCCAAGGUUACAGUCCGAGCCCGGUAGGUGGUUAUGGAAUGAGGAUGGAUGCAAGGUUUGGGCUUCUAUCAGGCGGCCGUAGUAGUUAUCCUUCUUUUGGUGGUGGUUAUGGAAUUGGUAUGAACUUUGACCCAGGGAUGAACCCAGGUAUUGGCGGUAGCUCGAACUUCAACAAUAGUGUCCAGUAUGGACGGCAGAUCAAUCCAUACUACAGUGGUAAUUCGGGUAGAUACAAUAGCAACAUUAGCUAUGGUGGAGUCAACGACAAUUCUGGGUCAGUGUUCAACUCACUGGCUCGUAAUCUGUGGGGUAAUUCAGGUCUCAAUUACUCUUCCAACUCUGCAAACUCUAAUUCCUUCAUGUCAUCUGCAAAUGGGGGGCUUGGUGGAAUCGGGAAUAACAAUGUGAAUUGGGGAACCCCUCCUGUGCCUGCUCAGGGUGCUAACGCUGGCUCGGGCUAUGGCAGUGGGAGCUUUGGUUAUGGAUCGACUGAAAACAACUUCAAUCUGAGUCCCGGUGCUUAUGGAAGGAACACUGGAUCAGGAGGCGUCAAUGCUUCACUCAACCAGUCAAGCAAUGGAUAUGGGAGGAACUUUGGAGAUUCGUCAGCGGGUGGUGGUGGCUCCAUCUAUGGAGACACAACUUGGAGAUCUGGAUCUGAGCUUGAUGGAACCAGCCCAUUUGGAUAUGGGCUUGGGAAUGCAGCUUCAGAUGUUACAGCAAAGAGCUCAGCGGGUUACAUGGGGCAUUAA